This 447-nucleotide ribosomal RNA is filed under the name uncultured bacterium. RNAcentral describes it as "bacterial SSU rRNA". It matches the Rfam family "Bacterial small subunit ribosomal RNA", at positions 329 to 793 of the family's 1533-position model. The record is from RNAcentral.
GUCCAGACUCCUACGGGAGGCAGCAGUGGGGAAUAUUGCACAAUGGGGGAAACCCUGAUGCAGCGACGCCGCGUGAGUGAAGAAGUAUUUCGGUAUGUAAAGCUCUAUCAGCAGGAAAGAAAAUGACGGUACCUGACUAAGAAGCCCCGGCUAACUACGUGCCAGCAGCCGCGGUAAUACGUAGGGGGCAAGCGUUAUCCGGAUUUACUGGGUGUAAAGGGAGCGUAGACGGUGAAGCAAGUCUGAAGUGAAAGGCGGGGGCUCAACCCCCGGACUGCUUUGGAAACUGUUUGACUGGAGUGCAGGAGAGGUAAGUGGAAUUCCUAGUGUAGCGGUGAAAUGCGUAGAUAUUAGGAGGAACACCAGUGGCGAAGGCGGCUUUCUGGACUGUAACUGACACUGAGGUACGAAAGCGUGGGGAGCAAACAGGAUUAGAUACCCGAGUAA